GCCUUUGUGGUGUAAUGGUAGCACACUCGGCGCGUAUUCGAGAGGUCCAGGUUCGAGUCCCGGGGAGGACA
RNAcentral lists this transfer RNA (71 nucleotides) under Stegodyphus mimosarum. It matches the Rfam family "tRNA". Rfam says of the family: Transfer RNA (tRNA) molecules are approximately 80 nucleotides in length. Their secondary structure includes four short double-helical elements and three loops (D, anti-codon, and T loops). Further hydrogen bonds mediate the characteristic L-shaped molecular structure. tRNAs have two regions of fundamental functional importance: the anti-codon, which is responsible for specific mRNA codon recognition, and the 3' end, to which the tRNAs corresponding amino acid is attached (by aminoacyl-tRNA synthetases). tRNAs cope with the degeneracy of the genetic code in two manners: having more than one tRNA (with a specific anti-codon) for a particular amino acid; and 'wobble' base-pairing, i.e. permitting non-standard base-pairing at the 3rd anti-codon position. The record is from Rfam by way of RNAcentral. Lineage: Eukaryota; Metazoa; Arthropoda; Arachnida; Araneae; Eresidae.